GUCACAGAAAACUUUGAAAGCUCAACUCCAAUUUAUGUACGUAUUUUUGUUGCAAACAAGCGUGAUAGCUUUAUCAAGAAAAGACUUUUGAAAAUAGAACUCUCUCUACUAUUAUCCAUUAGGAUAGAAUUUUUCUGGGGAAAAGGCAUACAUACAUGAUUUUAAGAAGAAAAGAGAAUGAUAAAAUUUUUAACAGUGAGGAAGAAUUUGUUCAUUAGAAAAUGGUUAAAAAUAUCAAAUCAUUGUAGCAUUUAUAUUCCAUCUGAUAUAUUUAGAUACAUUUUUUAAAGUGAUGUAAGUCUUUAAAAUGCUAAUAUUUACAAUAUGCCAAAAAUUACUUGGGCUAUACUAUUUUAGCAAGAUGAAAAUUUUAGAUGUUUAAUAAUGUUAGAGAUUCUUUGUUUUCCCACAAAUCUUUUAUGCACUAUGCAAGCAACAAAGUUUGAAGGUCUCUUUCCUAGAGAAACACAAACAUAUAUACCAGGCUACCUGUGCAAGAAUAUUCAUAGCACCUGUCCAUCAAGAGCAGAGUAGGUAAAUCAAUUACGCACACGAUGGAUUGCUAUGGAUUACUAUAAGCACUGGAUUACUACGUGCAAUGAAAUGAAUAAACUAUAGCUUCACACAAAACAUAACUGAAUCUCCUAAACGUAAUGCUGAGCUGAAGCAGACACAAAAGACACAAAAAAACUCCUAUGGUAAGAUCCACUUAUGUUCAUAACCAAGCAAAACUAACUUAUAUCGCUUAGGGAUGUAUGACAAAUUACAUCAUUACUCGCGAGAAUUCUCUCCCUGUCCCCAUAAGAGGAUUACGCAGUGCCAUGAGAUUCACUAGCCCCUGUUGAAUUUAGACUCUUGGCUCUGCCACGUGACACACUUGAGCCAAUGAAGAGUAGACCCUAUGCUUGCCAUGUUCAAUCAGAGACUCCAAGAGGCAUCAAGUUUCUGCCUCAAAAGAACUGUCCUUUCAACUUGGAUUCUGGAAUGAACACAUGGGGAGAACACCCUAAGCCAAUCCUAAGGCCUCAUCGAGGCAAAAAAUACAUGUUUGUUUUUGUAAGCCGCUGAGAUGUUG
RNAcentral lists this long non-coding RNA (1075 nucleotides) under Equus caballus (horse). Its description in RNAcentral is "lncRNA (ENSECAG00000045641.1)". The record is from RNAcentral. Lineage: Eukaryota; Metazoa; Chordata; Mammalia; Perissodactyla; Equidae.